This is a small nuclear RNA of Alosa alosa (allis shad), 192 nucleotides long. RefSeq annotates it as U2 spliceosomal RNA. NCBI's taxonomy places the organism in Eukaryota, Metazoa, Chordata, Actinopteri, Clupeiformes, Clupeidae. The record is from RefSeq and is a predicted model, not a curated record. The transcript has a single exon.
AAUGCUUUUGUAAUAAAACAAACUAAAACAGAAAAAGAAAUAGUUCUUAUCAGUUUAAUAUCCGAUAUGUCCUCUACCCGAGGACUAUAUAUUAAUCUGAUUUUUGGAACAGGGAGACGGAAGAGGGGCUUGCUCUCUCCGCUCCACGCAUUGACCCGGUAUUGCAGUGACUCCAGGAAUGGUGCACAUCCC